AGAGAGUGACGGGCGAUGUGUACACACAUCAGAGCCAACUUCAAUAAAGAAUUUUAUUCUAAAUUUACUACUAAAUCCACCUUAAUAAUAUUUUACAUACACUAAUCCGUGUUAAUUAUAAUUUAUUGUAACCCACUUCUCCCAUAUUUAUAAGUUGCACCUUGACCUGAAGUCAUAAAUUUAAAAUUAAUUAGAUUAUAUUUUCUAAAAAUAAUCUGACAACGGCGGUAUACAAACUGAAUACAAAAAUAUGUACAUUUAAACGUGGAAUAUCGAUCCAAGAGCAGGUUCCUCUAGUAAGAAUGAAGUACCGCCAAAUUCUUUAGGUUUCAAUAAAUCUACUACCCUGGCAAUAAAUUUAAUAAAGAAUAAUAGGGUAUCUAAUCCUAGUUUAAACCUCUACUUAUAAAGUUAACAAAUUUACCAAAAAUCUUUAAUUUAAAAAAAGAAAAAUUUUACCCUUAAUUUUUUAUCAAAAAAAUCUCCCUAAAAUAAAUAUUUACUUAAUUCCGCCAAACUAUUUUACUUAAAUCCUUCGUAUAACC
This 545-nucleotide ribosomal RNA is filed under the name Triops mauritanicus. Its description in RNAcentral is "partial 12S ribosomal RNA". The record is from RNAcentral. Lineage: Eukaryota; Metazoa; Arthropoda; Branchiopoda; Notostraca; Triopsidae.